AGGAUUAACGCUGGCGGCGUGCAUGAAACAUGCAAGUCGAGCGCGGUGUGAUGAGGGGUAACCCAAUUCACAUCUAGCGGCGAACGGGUGAGUAACACGUGAGCAACCUACCUUUGAGUUGGGGAUAGCCCUGGGAAACCAGGAUUAAUACCCGAUGUGGUCACAACAGGACAUCCUGAUGUGAGUAAAGGCGUAAGCCGCUCAAUGACGGGCUCGCGGCCUAUUAGCUUGUUGGUGGGGUAACGGCCUACCAAGGCGAUGAUGGGUAGCUGGUCUGAGAGGACGAUCAGCCACACUGGACUGAA
This 305-nucleotide ribosomal RNA is filed under the name uncultured bacterium. RNAcentral describes it as "SSU rRNA". It matches the Rfam family "Bacterial small subunit ribosomal RNA", at positions 26 to 323 of the family's 1533-position model. The record is from RNAcentral.